This 903-nucleotide long non-coding RNA is filed under the name Rhinopithecus roxellana (golden snub-nosed monkey). RNAcentral's name for it is "lncRNA (ENSRROG00000046038.1)". Lineage: Eukaryota; Metazoa; Chordata; Mammalia; Primates; Cercopithecidae. The record is from RNAcentral.
CGCCUCUCCAGGCUCAGCUCCCAUCAUCUCGUAGCAGAGCCCUGUGUCCGGGCCCGGUCAGGGGGGCAGCUGUCCUGGCCAUGGGCGUCUGGACCCUGGUGGAGAGAAGCGGCUACCUCAGCAUCCUGGCCUCCAGCACCUUCGCCGCCUCCGCCUACAUCCUCAUCCGGGCGGGUACUCUCGUCAUGGUCACCAGCUUCCUGGGCUACAGCACCAUCUCCCAGGAGCAGAAGGGCUGCCUCUCCAUGGCCGGGCAGCUGUACCUCUGAGCCACCUCCAGCCCAUGGUUCAUUGCCAGAAGAUAAUUCGCCCAGAGGUCAUUGCCGCUUAAACAGCUGGCUUCAUCUUUUCCUGUUUGGCCAGUUGUUCCGGGCUCCCUGGCUCUCCCUCCACCUGCUUCUAUGAUCCUCUCACACACAGCCGGCUGGGAGCCUCAGACUGGGCUCUUCUCCCUCCAGCUUAACUGGGCGACAUCUUGGUCCUCCUGUUGUGCUGAUGCCAGGCUGUUCUGGGAAUAGGCUAGUCCCUCCACCUCGUCGCGACCUGCCUGGACACUGAGCCUCUACCAUCAGGCUAUCAAUUGCAGGAAACUUUGCAAGCCCUGUCUCUGUCUAAUCAUACAGGAUGGCUGGAAGCUCCCUUUGUGGAAGAAUCAGUCCAAUGGAGAAAUUCUGAAAUUCCAGUUUUACAAAGUUCUUCAAACUUACCUCAAGGAUGGCACCAGCUGAAGCUCAGUUGCCCUGUCUCUUAUGCACCAGUGCAUCUGCCCCAGAAACUCUUAUCUGGGGCUCAGUUUGCCCCCAUGUGGUAUAAGUCCCUCCAAAUAUUUCCACUUCUAGUUAGUCAUCUUAAUGUCACAAUGAGAAAUAUUUCUGCAUAUUUCCUGCAAAGCGUCUCAUUAAA